GACAGAGGCCUCGAGCGUUAGGCGGAAUCACUGGGCUUAAAGCGUGUGUAGGCGGGCCCGUAAGUACCUUGUGAAAUCCCACGGCUCAACCGUGGAACGGCUGGGUAUACUGCGGGUCUUGGGCCAACUAGGGGCAGCCGGAACAAGCGGUGGAGCGGUGAAAUGCGUAGAUAUCGCUUGGAACGCCGAAGGUGAAAACAGGCUGCUGGGGUUGCGCCGACGCUGAGACACGAAGGCCAGGGGAGCAAACGGG
RNAcentral lists this ribosomal RNA (253 nucleotides) under uncultured bacterium. Its description in RNAcentral is "partial 16S ribosomal RNA". It matches the Rfam family "Bacterial small subunit ribosomal RNA", at positions 524 to 776 of the family's 1533-position model. The record is from RNAcentral.